AGCUUGCUGCUUUGCUGACGAGUGGCGGACGGGUGAGUAAUGUCUGGGAAACUGCCUGAUGGAGGGGGAUAACUACUGGAAACGGUGGCUAAUACCGCAUAACGUCGCAAGACCAAAGAGGGGGACCUUCGGGCCUCUUGCCAUCAGAUGUGCCCAGAUGGGAUUAGCUUGUUGGUGAGGUAACGGCUCACCAAGGCGACGAUCCCUAGCUGGUCUGAGAGGAUGACCAGCCACACUGGAACUGAGACACGGUCCAGACUCCUACGGGAGGCAGCAGUGGGGAAUAUUGCACAAUGGGCGCAAGCCUGAUGCAGCCAUGCCGCGUGUAUGAAGAAGGCCUUCGGGUUGUAAAGUACUUUCAGCGGGGAGG
This 370-nucleotide ribosomal RNA is filed under the name Salmonella enterica subsp. enterica serovar Derby. Its description in RNAcentral is "bacterial SSU rRNA". It matches the Rfam family "Bacterial small subunit ribosomal RNA", at positions 77 to 447 of the family's 1533-position model. Lineage: Bacteria; Pseudomonadati; Pseudomonadota; Gammaproteobacteria; Enterobacterales; Enterobacteriaceae. The record is from RNAcentral.